Molecule: transfer RNA, 77 nt
Filed under: Rhodobiaceae bacterium
Lineage: Bacteria; Pseudomonadati; Pseudomonadota; Alphaproteobacteria; Hyphomicrobiales; Rhodobiaceae
Description: tRNA-Pro
Source: RNAcentral
CGGCGUGUGGUGCAGCCUGGUGGUGCACCUCGUUCGGGACAAGGGGGUCGCUAGUUCGAAUUUUGCCACUCCGACCA